Molecule: ribosomal RNA, 253 nt
Filed under: uncultured bacterium
Lineage: Bacteria
Description: partial 16S ribosomal RNA
Rfam family: Bacterial small subunit ribosomal RNA
Source: RNAcentral
UACGUAGGGUGCAAGCGUUGUCCGGAAUUAUUGGGCGUAAAGAGCUCGUAGGCGGCUUGUCGCGUCGGCUGUGAAAACUCGAGGCUCAACCUCGAGACGUCGGCGGAAACCAUCUGGCUAGAGUCCGGAAGAGGAGAGUGGAAUUCCUGGUGUAGCGGUGAAAUGCGCAGAUAUCAGGAAGAACACCCGUGGCGAAGGCGGCUCUCUGGGACGGUACUGACGCUGAGACGCGAAAGCGUGGGGAGCGAACAGG